CCUACGGGUGGCAGCAGUGAGGAAUAUUGGUCAAUGGGCGUAAGCCUGAACCAGCCAAGUCGCGUGAGGGAUGAAGGUUCUAUGGAUCGUAAACCUCUUUUAUAAGGGAAUAAAGUGUGGGACGUGUCCUAUUUUGUAUGUACCUUAUGAAUAAGGAUCGGCUAACUCCGUGCCAGCAGCCGCGGUAAUACGGAGGAUCCGAGCGUUAUCCGGAUUUAUUGGGUUUAAAGGGUGCGUAGGCGGCCUUUUAAAUCAGAGGUGAAAGUCUGGGGCUCAAACAUAGAAUUGCCGUUGAAACUGGGGGGCUUGAGUAUGUUUGAGGCAGGCGGAAUGCGUGGUGUAGCGGUGAAAUGCAUAGAUAUCACGCAGAACCCCGAUUGCGAAGGCAGCCUGCCAGGCCAUGACUGACGCUGAUGCACGAAAGCGUGGGGAUCAAACAGGAUUAGAUACCCCUGUAGUC
This 460-nucleotide ribosomal RNA is filed under the name uncultured bacterium. Its description in RNAcentral is "partial 16S ribosomal RNA". It matches the Rfam family "Bacterial small subunit ribosomal RNA", at positions 338 to 795 of the family's 1533-position model. The record is from RNAcentral.